Molecule: ribosomal RNA, 473 nt
Filed under: uncultured Chloroflexota bacterium
Lineage: Bacteria; Bacillati; Chloroflexota
Description: bacterial SSU rRNA
Rfam family: Bacterial small subunit ribosomal RNA
Source: RNAcentral
GAGUUUGAUCAUGGCUCAGGAUGAACGCUGGCGGCGUGCCUAAUACAUGCAAGUCGAACGAGGUGCUUUUUGUAGCAAUACGAGGAGUAUCCUAGUGGCGAACGGGUGAGUAACGCGUGGGUGACCUACCCCAAAGUGUGGAAUAACAGUCCGAAAGGAUUGCUAAUGCCGCAUGUGGUCUGCGAGUUUAGAAAUCGUUGACUAAAGGAGCAAUCCGCUUUGGGAGGGACCUGCGUCCCAUCAGCUAGUUGGCGAGGUAACGGCUCACCAAGGCGACGACGGGUAGGGGACCUGAGAGGGUGGCCCCCCACAAUGGAACUGAAACACGGUCCAUACACCUACGGGUGGCAGCAGUAGGGAAUAUUGCACAAUGGGCGAAAGCCUGAUGCAGCAACGCCGCGUGCGCGAUGAAGGUCUUCGGAUCGUAAAGCGCUUUUCUGGGAGAUGAGAAAGGACAGUAUCCCAGGAAUAAG